AGGAUUACAUACUGUAUUUGGAAAAACUACUUUAUUCACGGUGAAACCUUCUAUGUGAUCAAUUCCAGAAAAGAAACAUCCACAUUGGGAGAAAAGGGCACUCAGUGAGGUCCCAAGAAGCAUGGCAUCUGUGUGUCCAUCUUCAGAUCUGCAGCCCGAUUGCAGCAGGCAGAAAAUGCCUUCAGAGAUUGCAGGGGUUUGCUGUCAUGCAGAAACUACCAAAGAACCUAUUGGAAAGUUCUUGGAAGAGCUGCCAGACAUUACCACGGGCAGAUUAAAAUGGUGAGCAUAUGGCCAUACAUUCACAAGAAGCUGAAUGCGAUAACUACAAAAAAUUAAACUUUCUGAUUUUUUUAUUCUUUAAAGAAAUUUGUAAUAAAAUGUUAUUUUCCACUACA
This 398-nucleotide long non-coding RNA is filed under the name Salvator merianae (Argentine black and white tegu). Its description in RNAcentral is "lncRNA (ENSSMRG00000015402.1)". The record is from RNAcentral. Lineage: Eukaryota; Metazoa; Chordata; Lepidosauria; Squamata; Teiidae.